UAAGAUGGCUUCUUAUUUCUUAUCCUUGCUAGUUGUGUUCCUUGCAGCUCUGAUCCUCAUCCCUCAAGGGUUUAAUGCUGAGGAGGAUUUCUACAAACACCCAAAGUAUGGACAUCAGCCUAUCUACAAGAAGCCACCACAUUACAAGUCACCUGUUUACAAGCCACCCUACAAGAAGCCACCAUACAAGAAGUACCCUCCUUAUGGUAAGCACCCUCCAGUUGAAGACAACACCCAUUUCUAGAACUUGCAAGGAGACAUGUUUGACUUAUAUGUAUUAAAUAAGUGGUCUCGUACCACUGCUUCAAUUCUACUAUCCUAAUUUGCUAAAGCUCUUGUACAAUAGCUUUAGCAAAUUAAUGCUAAGGCCAUGUUGAGAGCAUCAUGUAUGUAUGUGCUGUGAAUGUAAAAUCAAUAAGAGAAAGUUAUGUUUUGUGCUCCGAAUUAUAAAUAAACGUUUUUUAUGACUUCAUAUUGCUUGAUAUGCUAAUUAUAUAUCUUAACUUAGUUCUUAUAAAUAAGUCACUUUCAAUAAUUUAUAUACAAAUUUAGAAAUUAAAACAAACUUGUUAUGCAUGGCAUGCCGGAAAAACAAACCGCACUACUAUACCAAUGUAAUUAUGGCCGACCCAAUCAUCCAGGUCGGCCAAAACACCUAUAGAGCCAAUGCUAUUUUUUGUUGGGCAAGACGACCAAAUAACAUAACAUAUAUAAUAAUUACAAUUAAGUCAGUGAUUAAAGAACGACUUCCAUUCUUUAAUUAACCAACUGCCUUUUCUCUUGUAAUGAAAACAAAAAUUAACCAACUAAUUAUGCUGGACUAUAUUAACUUAUCAACGAUAAUCUUCUAUAUAUAUAUAUGUAAAGCACACUUGAGUUUUAGCAUUAAAUACAUAAGCAAAACUCAAGUGUUGCAAUGUAAUAAGAGAAAAUAGGAGAUGCACUGACAGUAUAAACUUGUUUUACACAUGCACCCAAUUGAUUUCCGCCACAUCAGCAAUUUAUUAAUUUACUAAUUAAAAUUAAAAAGAUUUGUAACUACUUAGUCUUAUGUGACAUAAUGUGAUUGGACGUCAGUGUAAAACUUCUUUACACUGACAGUGCAUAUCCAUUAAACAAUUGUAAUAAAUAUAUUAAACAAUAAUAACAACUAUUCAACAAUAUAAGAAAAAUUGUAAUAAAUAUAUUAAACAAUAAUAAAAUUAAAAUUAAAAAAUUUAUAUUGUCAAAAACUAUUCAACUAUUUAUCUUAAAUAACAACAUUCAUAAACUAAAAAUUUACUUGAGUUUUGUAUUUCACAAAUAUUAAAAAUUAAGUUCAAUAAGAAAAUAAUAUUUAUUAACAAAUAAUUUAGAUAAAAUAGUUUUAAAAUUAAAAAAAUUAUCUAUAUACAUAUGUAAAGGAGACUUGAAAAAAUAGCAUUAAUCACAUUAGCAAUAAGAGCAUUAAACACAUUAAAAAGACUACAAAGUCAUAAAUUAAAAAUAGUUUGUUACCAACUUUUGAGUUUCUUUUUUUUCGAAAGCAAAAAUUAUAUUGAUAUGAUAUUGAGGAAAUAAUCAAGAUAUACACCCUCCUCAAAAGGAUUAGAAAAAACCAGUAGCAGAAAGAAACCCCAACCAUGAAAAGAACCAACCAAGAAAAACAACCCGAACCAAGGACCUAAAACUUUUGAGUUUCUUAUAAAAAAAUAAUUUUUUAAGUAUUAAUUAAAAAUAAUUAGAAUUUUAAUUAUUAAUAAUAAAUUGAGAAAAAAAUUAAAUAUUAAAAAAAACAAAGAAAUAUAUUUAUAUGUAAAUAGUAUUAAAAAUUAGAUUAAUUAAGUAAAAAUGAUAUCUAUUAAUAAAAAUAAUUAAGAAAAAAAAUAUUUGAAAUAUAUCUAUCUAUAUCUUCUAUAAUAUAAAUAUGUACAAAAGACUUGAACCAUAACAUUAAAUACAAUAGUAGAAAUGAAGACCCCUUAUUUAACUCUUUAAAAAAAACUGAUGACUUUUCGUUUUUCAUAUUGCUUACUCACUAUUUUUAAUAAUAAAAAACCAAACUUUGCUAUAUAAACAAAUUAAACACUCAUAAAAUGAAACUAGGUAAUGUUUUCAUAUAUGAACAAAUAUCGAGAAUAAAUAUUAAUUAUUAAUAAAAUAUUAAUUAUGAAUAAAAAAUUUAGACAAAAUAACUUUAAAAUUAAAAUUUUCACAAUAAGGUGUUUGUGUAUUAUUUGGAAAAAAAUUAUACAUUUUUUGAUCUAUUAUAUAUUAGUGAAAAUGACUUAACAAGGAGGAAACUAACUACAAAAAAAAAAUUACGUUAUUUAAUUAUUUUUUGAAAGAACUAUUAAAGUUACGACUUAUUAUAAUUUUAAAAUUACUUUUUUGUUGAUAAAAGCACACAAAAAUUUUUGUUAUUAUUAUAACUUAUUUGAUAAUAUAUUUCAAACUUACAAAUUUUUUUUAGUUUAUAAAAUAAAUGAGUUAGUAAAUAUAAUUCAGUGCUAACUAUUAAAAUAAAUUAUUAGAUUUGAGUAUGUAUUUAUUCACACACAAAAAACUCUAAAUUGUCUCAAGAUUUUUAUAAUACUUAUAAUUAAAAAAUGAUUUUAAUAUUCCUUUAAAGUAUAAUAAUUUUUUGUAAUGAUAAAGAUUAUUGUAAAUAAACCCGUGCAUCGCACGGGUAUUAUAUCUAGUUUUUUUCUAUUACAUAAUAUGUAAAUUUAGUGCUUAUUAUCUAACAUUUACUAUCAUUUUUUUCAUUAAGAUAAAGGUUAAAUGUAAUUUUAGUCCGUGUAAAAUAAGGAUUAAUUGAAAUUCAUUCCUCCAAAAAAAUUAAUAACUUUUAAUCUUGAGCAUUAAUAAAAUAUGUCUCAUCUCAUCAUUUCCGUUCAUUUUGUGGGAAUUUUUUGCAUUAUUGGUAGUCUUUAACCACCCCCAACAAAUACAUUAGUAGCAGUGUAAAUUGCAACAAAAUGCACCCAGGGAUAAACUUGACUUACUUCAUUAACGUUAGCAUAUUUGAAAGGAUUAAAACAAAAUGCACCCAGGGAUAAAAGCUAUAAAGUUUUUUGCGAAAAUCAAAUUGAAAAGAUUAAAACCAUAUUUGACCCUAAAAUCAAUUAUAGCAAGUAAGUUCAUUCACUUUCAAAAAAAAAAAUAAGUUCAUUAAUUGUUUUUGUCUAAUUAAAUAAUUUUUAACUCAAAUCAAGCAUAUUCCCCAACUCCGAAACCUUUGGGGCCUCUCUUUCCAUUUAUCUUGAACAGAAUAUGUGCUUGCCCCAUCAAACGUGAGGUGCUGAGCUAGCUUGUAAAAUUAGUUGAUUCGCAAUUACAGCGUAUUUAGCACUUUCUUGUUACGUGGUCGAAAUAAAAUACUUUAAAACUUUUGUUAAUGAAUAUUAUAUAUAUAUAUAUAUAACUAAUAAAUUUUUUAGAAAGUCAUAUUUAAUGUUGUUAUGAAUUAAGUUGAGUUUCAACAACUUUCAUUGCAAAAAAAGGCUGGCUAUGAAGAUUUUGUUGAAAUAUGACAUAUCAAUCAAUCAACAAGUAGAAAAGAAAUAUUGUUGUUUUUUUUAAUUUUCAACUAACCCCUAGUAAAACUCGAAUAAACAAGUCAUUUUUCAUAAAUUAAAUCUUUGUGAAACAUUUAAAUAAUAAUGUUUUAGCUUUAUUGACACCCAAAAAUAAGGAAAAUUUGGCUAAAUGCAUCGACCGUUAAUUAGCUAAUUUCAAUUGUCUAAAUAUCGUACAGUUUCCAAGCAAUAUUGCUUGCCAAAUUAACCAGCCAGUGCACCAUAAUUCCAAGGCAAUCCUUACAUUUUUAGCUUCUUUAAUUUUAUUUUAUAAGUCCCGCUCUGGGUCUCUUCCUAGUGCCUAGCAUGUCAACAGCACAGUGGAACGUGGACGUACUUAUGUCGCAAUCUCCAAUGACUACCCAAAAUGGUAACAUCUGUCGGCAGUGCACUAUCCCACCCCUCACUCAUUUACUUGAAGAACCUAAAGCCUUAUCAUAACACAUGUUCCUAAAUAACCAUAAAUCAUUGAGUUAUAAAAGUUAUAUUAUAUAUAUGAAGAAUACAUAAUUCAGUUUUUAAUAAACUACAAACUGAAAAUUAAAAUACAAUGACUGAUUUACUGAUUCCCUUUCUAAUGAAAUGUUGGUAAGUUUUUAUGACAUAUUGCAGAGGUACUAUAUAUUCAUUUCUUUUUCUAUAAUCUCAUAGAAUGUCAUUAAUAUCUAGCGCGCUUUCUCAAACAGUUGUACAUGACACACCAGUUAAAUAAUCUAACCUCAACAUUUAACCCCAGAAAGGGGAAAAAAAAAAACUCGCUUCACUUUUGUGUAGGUAACAAUUAUGAAAAAACUGCUUCAAAAUACCAAAGAAAAUGUAGCCCAACUCAUACAAACGGUUGAGUAUGACUCAUAAGUAAUGUCAAGGGGGUGGUGAAGCUACGGAGCGUUCUCGACCCUUGAGUUUAACACAACUGUUUGUUUGGAGGAUGCGACUUGGGUGUGGAGGGUACGGAAGGUUUCGCUCCCGCAGUAAAAUUUAGGGGUAUUGUUAUAAUUUGUAUUAUUAGUAUCCCUAUACAUAUAUAUACUUGUAAUUAACACUAUAACCCUCAUGUAUUCGAAAUACUAAUUAAUAAACAGAAUUAUAACUGUUCUAUAGUCACAUAUCUGAGAAUAGAUUUACCCUAUAUUAAUAUGAAUAUUUUUUUUAGUGGACACACAAGUGGCCAACAAGUGGGAGUACGUCCAUGAAUUUAAAGGAUUGGCACUAUUAAUCAUACCGAUCACGUGUGGCUCUUAGUUUCCUACUAUUAUUUAAAUGGGACCAAAGUUUCUUAUCAUUUUUGAAUAAUCCACACCCAACUUUGACGAUUAGGGUAGUGAGUGUUCAAAUAAUAAAUGACUUGGAUAGAGACCUUGUACUCCCAUUGAGACCUCUCACAGUCUCACUACUAUAAAAAUGGACCAUUCCGUGCAUGUAAAAAGUACACUAAUAUUAAACAAUAAUGAUAUUAAAGAGAGGUGUGAAGAUAACAUUAUUCAAUAAUCAAUAUCAAGAGCAUUUUCAAUGGAGAUUUUAAAUUGUGAUUUAAAAAUAAAAUCUGGAUUUAAUGAAAUUCCACCAUCAAAGCUAUUCUACGUGGCAUGAGAUCUUAGUAAAAACUAAAAUUCGUACCUUAGCUCAACAACCUUCGGAACUGAAAUCUUAAUAUGAUUCUCUCAUUCAAUACCCGAAUUCAAUAAAAUAUGUUUUCUCUUUCAUGUUGAGUUUUAAUUAUAUAUUUCCUACCAUGAUAAAUUUUAAUUAUAUUAUAUCUUUUUCAAAGAUUAAUGAAGUUGUCCCCGAAUGAUAACUCGAAUGGUAAAAGUUAUGAGAUAUAUGAGUUGGGUGGGGAGGUUCAGAGAUCAAUUCUUAAAUGGUGCAAUUUAUCUUUCCGAUUUACCAAAAAAAAAUAUUAAUGAAGUUGUAUUUAACUAAUAAUUAAAUUUAAUAUUUGAUGAAAAUAAAUAAUUAUAUUAAGUAUUGUAGGUCUAACCAAAGGUAAAAUAAAAUUUCAACCACUGAAGCGAAUUGUGCACUGGAACCUUAUGAAUGCCUUAAAUCUUAUGUUGCAGUAUAGAUCCAUAAAAUAUGAGUUAAGUCUCAAAUUAAGAUCUUUUUGUUAGAGAUUCUCUAGAUGGCUUCGUAUUUCUUAUCCUUGCUAGUUGUUCCUUGCAGCUCUGAUCCUCAUCCCUGAAGGGUUUAAUGCUGAGGAGGAUUUCUACAAACACCCAAAGUAUGGACAUCAUCCUAUCUACAAGUUAAGAAGCCACCAUAUUACAAGCCACUGCUUAAUUACAAGCCAAUAGCCAACAGUGUUCAAGUCACCUUACAAGAAGACACCAUACAAGAAGCACCCUCCUUAGUCCUUAUGGUAAGCAC
This 5924-nucleotide long non-coding RNA is filed under the name Lotus japonicus. RNAcentral's name for it is "long non-coding RNA (LJAP_LNC001543)". Lineage: Eukaryota; Viridiplantae; Streptophyta; Magnoliopsida; Fabales; Fabaceae. The record is from RNAcentral.